Molecule: long non-coding RNA, 1088 nt
Filed under: Homo sapiens (human)
Lineage: Eukaryota; Metazoa; Chordata; Mammalia; Primates; Hominidae
Description: non-protein coding lnc-SIRT4-3:1
Source: RNAcentral
CUCAGCCUCCCGAGUAGCUGGGACUACAGGCGCCCACCACCAUUCCCGGCUAAUUUUUUUUUUGUAUUUUUAGUAGAGACGGGGUUUCACCGUGUUAGCCAGGAUGGUCUCAAUCUUCUGACCUCGUGAUCUGCCCGUCUCAGCCUCCCAAAGUGCUGGGAUUACAGGCAUGAGCCACCAUGCCCGGCCCGUUUUUUUGUUUGUUUGUUUGUUUUCCCCAAGAUGGAGUCUUGCUCUGUUGCCCAGAGCUGGAGUGCAAUGGCACAAUCUCGGCUCACUGCAACCUCCGCCUCCUAGGUUCAAGCAAUUCUCCUGCCUCAGCAUCCCGAGUAGCUGGGAUUACAGGCGUGAGCCACCACACCCGGGUAAUUUUUGUAUUUUUAGUAGAGAUGGGGUUUCACCAAGUUGGCCAGGCUGGUAUCGAACUCCUGACCUCGUGAUCCACCUGCCUCGGACUCCCAAAAUGUUGAGAUUACAGGCGUGAGCCACCAUGCCCAGCCGCAGUGCUGUUUUUAAGAGCAAGAGACUGGAAACAACUCAAAUGUCCAUCAAUAGGGGGCUGUUUAAUUAAAUCACAUACAGUUCUACAACGGAAAAUUAUGUAGCCACAGAAAAGAUCCCAGGAAGCUCAAAUGUACUGAAACGAAACAGCUUCCAAGAUCUGAAAACAUAACACUGAACGAUGUAGGUAACGUGUGUAUCAUUUGUGGGAAAAAGUGGGAUACAAUAUGAUUAUAAGAUACUUAUACAGGCCGGCGCGGUGGCUCACGUCUGUAAUCCCAGCACUUUGGGAGGCCAAGGCAGGCGGAUCACAAGGUCAGCAGGUCGAGACCAGCCUGGCCAAUUUGGUGAAACCCCAUCUCUACUAAAAAUACAAAAAUUAGCCAGGCGUGGUGGCUUACGCCUGUAAUCCCAGCUACUCGGGAGGCUGAGGCAGGAGAAUCACUUGAACCCGGAGGGGGAGGUUGUGUUGACAAGUGCUGAAUCGAGUUGUUGUGAGUUAAUAAUAAAUAUUAUUAUUAUUGAGUACACAUUGUUUAACACGUGUAAAGCAUCACGUUAAGUCUUUAAAACCUAAUGGGUGUUUU